Molecule: long non-coding RNA, 1856 nt
Organism: Anolis carolinensis (green anole)
Lineage: Eukaryota; Metazoa; Chordata; Lepidosauria; Squamata; Anolidae
Source: Ensembl
GUGUCACCACCUUGCAGCCAAAAAAGAAAAAUGAACAUUGGAACAUACAGACAUUUUUGGGCAACACAGAUAGCGAACACCCUGAAUGCAGUACUGCUAUUAUUGCAAGGGAGCUGAGAUGCUUUAACAUCGAUAUAGCAGCACUUCAAAAGACCCAGAGAGCAGGAGAGGGAAAGCUGAAGAAAGAAAAAGGAGGCUACACUUUCUUCUGCCUGAAGGGACUGCCUGAAGGAGAACAAAUAAUACACUGAGUUGGCUUUGAUAUCAGAAACAACCUGGGUGGGUUCUUGCGUCUCACCAAAUGUGCAGGACAUAACCUUGUCAUCACAAAUACAUUCUUAACAAGCUUAAGAAAUCAUGGAAGUACCCCUGGUCAAUGCAUUGGCACAUUUUAGACAAUGUAAUUAUACAUGCCAGAGACCUCCAUGAUGUGCUUCUCACAAGAGCCAUAACAGAUGCUGGUGACUGCUGGAUAGGCUACAGGUUAAUUUGAUCAGUGAUGACCAUCAAGAUUGCAGACUUCAAGGAAGAAAGAAAAGGGGCAAAAUGAACACCCAAGCCCUCCAACAGCCUUCAAAAUGAGCCCUUCUCCAAGCAACACUCAAGGAUCAUCUACCCAUAGAACACCCUGAAAAUGUUGAGGAACAUUGGAAUAACCUGAAGACAUCUCUCAUCAUAGCCUGUGAAGAAACCUUUGGAUACUAAACCUAGAAACACUAAGACUGGUUUGAUGAAAAUGAUACUGAGGUCCAACAAUUAAUUUGUUAACUUCCAAAUAUGGCAGAGAGACACCAACUGUGCUGCUAAGAAAAAGAUAUAUGCCAGUUCAGAAGCUGAGGUUCUAAGUAGGACCAGAGAACUCAAGAACACAUGAUGUACAAAUAAGCCUCAAGAAAUACAACACUUUGCAAACAUCCAUGAUGCAUGAGGAUUCUUUAAUGUUACAAAGCUCAUCUAUGGUCCAAAAAAUCAUGGCAUACACCCUCUACAUUCAUCAGAUGGAACCAAACUUCUGAAGGAUAAAAAAUCAAUUGCACUACAUUGGAAAGAGUACUAUCAUAACCCCCUUAACCACAGAUCCAAUGUGGUCAAAGAGAUUCUCUCACAAAUCCUGCAACAACAAACCAGGGAUGAGCUUGCAGCACUGCCUAGUUUGGAGGAAGUCAGCAGAAUUGUUAAAAUAACCUUGAAUAUGAAAGCAACAUGGAAUCUUUUGGUGCUUGCAUGAAACAGUCAAGCAGCUUCAAACAAAAGAAUACAAAAUUAUACCUCUAAAAUUUAAGGGCUGCAAUUAUGAGAUUCAGAAAUUUAUCUUGGAAAUGAUAGACAUAGUUGGCUUUGUUUUAAAAUGCAUCUGACACAGUCACCCCAUAUUGAAUUCUUUCUGUCUUAGAGGAUGGCUGACAAGAAGGACACUCAUUCCUUUGGGCAAUUUGAGAACACUGUGACAUCUAAAAUAAAUUUUGUGAAUGUCACUGAGAAAGCAAGGAGAAAGCAAAUGUGUGCACAUUUUUUGUUACUAAAAUGCUCUGCCAUUAAAAAAUAAAAAAAAAUCAAUAAAGCUACAUGCCAGUAAGUUUAGAUAGAAACCCCUUCUCAACCUCAAUGCCUUUUCAGGUCUCACCUGCACCAUAGAAUACUGCAUAUGUCUACAAUUCCUCAUGUGCAAUGUUUCUAAUCUCCUAACAUAGCUAACAAUGGACCGUUCUACACUUGCUGUAAAACCCAGAAGUAACUGGGUUAAGCGGGGGGGGGGGGGGGGUAGCUAAGCAACGUUUAGCCAAAGUGUGGAAGUGAUCAGGUUUAGAACUAAAGAGCAUAUGUUAAAAAGGUGCAUUUAAAACCUGAUUCCGCCU